UAGCUCAGUUGGUUAGAGCACCUAUUUAGAAAGCAUGAGGUUUUGAGUUCAAAUCUCAA
Molecule: transfer RNA, 59 nt
Filed under: Ipomoea nil (Japanese morning glory)
Lineage: Eukaryota; Viridiplantae; Streptophyta; Magnoliopsida; Solanales; Convolvulaceae
Rfam family: tRNA
About the family: Transfer RNA (tRNA) molecules are approximately 80 nucleotides in length. Their secondary structure includes four short double-helical elements and three loops (D, anti-codon, and T loops).
Source: Rfam by way of RNAcentral